UAUUACUUUAACCUAUACACGAGUUAUAGGCAUUGAUUGUCGUUCAUAUUUCAUUCUCAGAGAGAACCAGUGACAACAGGAGUGUGAUAUCUUGACUUGUGAGUGAAUUAGAUUCAAGUGAGACAGAACUGUGCAAAGUCUUCAGCUCCACUCUCUGCUCCAGAGUUGUCAGAGUCCAGGGCAAGAGACAGGUCAGCACCGCUGGAGGUGGCCCCAGCUGCAGUGGGAAACCCUCAGAAUUUCCAGCCGGAAUCGAAGGUGCCCAGCUAUGCUCUGGAAAAGAGAGAAAAAGGAGGAAGAGGUUAAAAAUGAGAUUGAAGCCUCCCUUAAAAGGUGAAUACAUUGGGAUCCCACUGACCUUUGGCACCCUGCCUGCUGACUGGUGAGCAUCCAAUUCUCUGAACUGAACACUAGGAGAAUCCAAUCCACUAGAUGGUGGUAGUGUUGCCAGGGGAUAACACACAUCCUUCAUAAAAACAUAAUCAAACCCACAAAAAGGCUUAACAACAUGUUCACACAAGUUGAGUAAGGUAACUGACAUGUAUAUAGAGUUUCAAAUC
RNAcentral lists this long non-coding RNA (560 nucleotides) under Phascolarctos cinereus (koala). RNAcentral's name for it is "lncRNA (ENSPCIG00000036839.1)". Lineage: Eukaryota; Metazoa; Chordata; Mammalia; Diprotodontia; Phascolarctidae. The record is from RNAcentral.